GUUCAACAAAAGACAUAUCCAGGGUGCAGUGACUAUAAGCAACAGUCUCCGUGGUAGUAUUUUCAUCCUGUUGCUCCUGUGGGCUACCUUAAGGGAACUUGAAGACAACU
RNAcentral lists this small nucleolar RNA (110 nucleotides) under Erinaceus europaeus (western European hedgehog). RNAcentral describes it as "Small nucleolar RNA SNORA70 (ENSEEUG00000022476.1)". It matches the Rfam family "Small nucleolar RNA SNORA70", at positions 27 to 135 of the family's 135-position model. Rfam says of the family: snoRNA U70 seems to be exclusive to mammals and is a member of the H/ACA class of snoRNA which contain H (ANANNA) and ACA box motifs. H/ACA box snoRNAs are involved in the conversion of uridines to pseudouridines (5-ribosyluracil) a constituent of structural RNAs (transfer, ribosomal, small nuclear, and small nucleolar). Lineage: Eukaryota; Metazoa; Chordata; Mammalia; Eulipotyphla; Erinaceidae. The record is from RNAcentral.